Anarrhichthys ocellatus (wolf-eel) is the source of this 312-nucleotide long non-coding RNA. RefSeq lists it as uncharacterized. Lineage: Eukaryota; Metazoa; Chordata; Actinopteri; Perciformes; Anarhichadidae. The record is from RefSeq and is a predicted model, not a curated record. The transcript has 3 exons.
CAAACAAAGAUGGUGGCUCCCUGACCGUCCAUGUGGCUCACAGAGGCAGAAGAACUCGUUCAGAACUUAAUAUCAACUCUUUAAAUAUCAGAAAACAAACAGAAGUGUGGUGGAGGUGAAGCUGCGCACAACUCGAGAUGCAACACGACGACGUGAUCUGGGACAUUAUCGGAAACCAACAGUUUUGCUCCUUUAAAGUCAAGACUAAGAGUCAGGGCUUCUGUCGGAAUGAGUUCAACAUCACGGGGUUGUGUAACCGCUCGUCCUGCCCGCUGGCCAACAGCCAGUACGCCACCAUCAGAGAGGAGAAGG